AUGAAUUAUCUCUGACAGCAGGAAAGAAAUAGUGUUUAAGAUUUGAACCUGUAGGAGUGUGUCAUGUAUUUUAAUAUAACAGGAGGUAAAAGUAAAGGUUGAAGAUCAGUGUUUCGAGUGAAAGUGAAGCAUCUAAGUGAAGAAUUGUCAAAGUACAGUAAAUGUAGAGUGAGGAUCACAAUGUCUUGCAAGGUAAUAUGAGAACUUAAUUUAAAAAAAAG
Non-coding RNA from Pelobates cultripes (western spadefoot toad), 221 nucleotides. NCBI's taxonomy places the organism in Eukaryota, Metazoa, Chordata, Amphibia, Anura, Pelobatidae. The record is from the annotation of a GenBank genome assembly.